CAUGAAUGCCUCAAGCAUAUUUCAAAAAUCGAUUAAAUUUUUAAACGAAUAAUCGAUAAAUAAUUAUUAAAUAAUCAUGAAACUCCUUUCCAUUUUCGGUGUCAUCGCAAUGUUAGCAGUAGCUGUCAGCGGUCAAUGCCGAGGACGCGGUCUUCGAUGCAUCAGGGAUAGUCAGUGCUGUUCAGGUCUCUGUCGCCGAGCAAGUUGUGCCUAACAAGAUAGACACAGUCCUGUCCUGAAAAUUCCGAGCCUUCACCUAAUAUUUUAAAUACUUAAUCAAUAUCACCUCAACAUGUAACGAGCAUUUACUUUAAUUACUCCAAUUGUCUUGCAUCAAUAAAAUUCAAUAAAAUUCAAUAAAAUUCAAUAAAAUUCAA
This is a long non-coding RNA of Fopius arisanus, 377 nucleotides long. RefSeq lists it as uncharacterized. The record is from RefSeq and is a predicted model, not a curated record. Lineage: Eukaryota; Metazoa; Arthropoda; Insecta; Hymenoptera; Braconidae. The transcript has 3 exons.